Molecule: long non-coding RNA, 1277 nt
Organism: Brachypodium distachyon (stiff brome)
Lineage: Eukaryota; Viridiplantae; Streptophyta; Magnoliopsida; Poales; Poaceae
Exons: 2
Source: RefSeq, a predicted model, not a curated record
UGGUUUCAUAUGGUGAGGCUAAUUCGAGAUCUUUCCGUGGAGGUUCGAGGGAGAUCGAUCGAACCCUCGAGGUCUUCUCCGACUCCGCACGGGCACGGCCCCUUUGCUCGAUUUCCUCAAUCCAGGACAGUUCUGCUACGUUGCUUGCAUGUGGUAGCUAGGGGCUCUGCAAUUCCUAUCUCAUUCAUUCAUCAGAUCAGAUACACCACAUGCAUCAUGCAUGGUCUAGUCCAGCUCCACCUAAUACAGCGCACUGCAUCAGCUAAAGGGAGUACCAAGUUCCAUCCUCUCAGGCGCUGCAUCGAGGAAGUAGAACUAAAAUGCAGAAAGAAAGAAAAACGGUACACUGGUUUAGCCUCGGUAAUUAAGAUCAAACGAAGUAAACAUAAUCUGUAGCUAGGAUUGGAUCUGGCCUUUUUAUAUUUUUGUAUUUUCUUUAAUAACAGAGUGUCAGUGGCUGCUUUGUUCACAUAAGGAUUGGUCAGAUCAGAUCAACUUUCGAUCGACGAGCUGAAUACAAUACACGCAUUCAUGCCUUUGCCUUAAUUAUGAACAUGCAGAUGAAGAUGUCAAGAACUGUCGUGUGAGCGAUCACUGUUACUCCCUCCGUUUCAUAAAGAUUGGCAUGAUUUUGAACUAGAACUAGUUUAAAUCCGUGCCAAUCAUUAUGGCACGGAGGGAGUAAUUAAGAUUGCGAUGGUGGAGGUGAAUGAUAUAAAUAUGAGUCCUUUCAUCAACCGGAAGACGAGCUGCAACUCUGCGCUCAACUUGCUCUGGCUGGCUCACUAGGGCUGGGCCCAUAAACGAGACUUGCUCUGGCUGGCUAAACUGCACAUGCUCAUUUCAAGCAUCAUCAUCAUUCAGGUGGUCCCCUCUUGACGAACCCAAACAUGAUGUCUGAGGAGGAAGUUAUGAUUCAAUAUUUCGAGAUGUGGUUGAUCAUUCAUGGUCUCUUGUUUGCCGAUGGAGGCACAACUACUGGCUGCAUAUGGUUCUUCUGAUUCGAUCAAUUUCUGGGAGCAAUGACAGAAGUUGACAACGGAGAUGAUGAUGACUGCCUUAGAAACUCGUGUGUUGAUCAGUAGAAUUAUUCGUAUUGUAAACUUAAGAGCUGAGUUCCAGCAAGAAUUUUAGAGGGAAGAAAAAAAAAUGUACGGCUGCUGCUUGAGAUGUGGCCAAACAUUCCUAUUGUAAACUUAAACGCCAGCUCCUCCUCUUCCUCUGGCCGGCGGCGAGUAUAUAGCUGCCAGCUCUUAUAGGUUUGAAACUUGAGUCUC